GUGGGGAAUUUUGGACAAUGGGCGCAAGCCUGAUCCAGCAAUGCCGCGUGCAGGAUGAAGGCCUUCGGGUUGUAAACUGCUUUUGUACGGAACGAAACGGCGAGCUCUAAUACAGUUUGCUAAUGACGGUACCGUAAGAAUAAGCACCGGCUAACUACGUGCCAGCAGCCGCGGUAAUACGUAGGGUGCGAGCGUUAAUCGGAAUUACUGGGCGUAAAGCGUGCGCAGGCGGUUUUGUAAGACAGGUGUGAAAUCCCCGGGCUUAACCUGGGAAUGGCGGUUGUGACUGCACAGCUGGAGUGCGGCAGAGGGGGAUGGAAUUCCGCGUGUAGCAGUGAAAUGCGUAGAUAUGCGGAGGAACACCAAUUGCGAAGGCAGGUGACUAAGCCAUAACUGACGCUGAGGCUCGAAAGCGUGGGGAGCAAACAGGAUUAGAUACCCGAGUAGUCC
This 450-nucleotide ribosomal RNA is filed under the name uncultured bacterium. RNAcentral's name for it is "bacterial SSU rRNA". It matches the Rfam family "Bacterial small subunit ribosomal RNA", at positions 354 to 796 of the family's 1533-position model. The record is from RNAcentral.